GUGAACCUUUACUAUAGCUUGACACUGAACAUUGAGCCUUGAUGUGUAGGAUAGGUGGGAGGCUUUGAAGCGUGGACGCCAGUCUGCGUGGAGCCGACCUUGAAAUACCACCCUUUAAUGUUUGAUGUUCUAACGUGGACCCGUAAUCCGGGUUGCGGACAGUGUCUGGUGGGUAGUUUGACUGGGGCGGUCUCCUCCUAAAGAGUAACGGAGGAGCACGAAGGUUGGCUAAUCCUGGUCGGACAUCAGGAGGUUAGUGCAAUGGCAUAAGCCAGCUUGACUGCGAGCGUGACGGCGCGAGCAGGUGCGAAAGCAGGUCAUAGUGAUCCGGUGGUUCUGAAUGGAAGGGCCAUCGCUCAACGGAUAAAAGGUACUCCGGGGAUAACAGGCUGAUACCGCCCAAGAGUUCAUAUCGACGGCGGUGUUUGGCACCUCGAUGUCGGCUCAUCACAUCCUGGGGCUGAAGUAGGUCCCAAGGGUAUGGCUGUUCGCCAUUUAAAGUGGUACGCGAGCUGGGUUUAGAACGUCGUGAGACAGUUCGGUCCCUAUCUGCCGUGGGCGCUGGAGAACUGAGGGGGGCUGCUCCUAGUACGAGAGGACCGGAGUGGACGCAUCACUGGUGUUCGGGUUGUCAUGCCAAUGGCACUGCCCGGUAGCUAAAUGCGGAAGAGAUAAGUGCUGAAAGCAUCUAAGCACGAAACUUGCCCCGAGAUGAGUUCUCCCUGAGACUUAGAGUCUCCUGAAGGAACGUUGAAGACGACGACGUUGAUAGGCCGGGUGUGUAAGCGCAGCGAUGCGUUGAGCUAACCGGUACUAAUGAACCGUGAGGCUUAACCUUAC
RNAcentral lists this ribosomal RNA (840 nucleotides) under Salmonella enterica. RNAcentral's name for it is "partial 23S ribosomal RNA". It matches the Rfam family "Bacterial large subunit ribosomal RNA", at positions 2093 to 2925 of the family's 2925-position model. Lineage: Bacteria; Pseudomonadati; Pseudomonadota; Gammaproteobacteria; Enterobacterales; Enterobacteriaceae. The record is from RNAcentral.